RNAcentral lists this ribosomal RNA (487 nucleotides) under uncultured bacterium. RNAcentral's name for it is "bacterial SSU rRNA". It matches the Rfam family "Bacterial small subunit ribosomal RNA", at positions 28 to 507 of the family's 1533-position model. The record is from RNAcentral.
GACGAACGCUGGCGGCGUGCUUAACACAUGCAAGUCGAACGGAGAUUAUUAAUGAAGUUUGCGAUUUAAUAAUCUUAGUGGCGGACGGGUGAGUAACGCGUGGGCAACCUACCCAUAAGCGGGGGAUAACAGUUGGAAACGACUGCUAAUACCGCAUAAGCUAUUAAGGUCACAUGACCUUAAUAGUAAAGGUGGCGAUUUUACAUUGCUAUCACUUAUGGAUGGGCCCGCGUCUGAUUAGCUAGUUGGUGGGAUAGCAGCCUACCAAGGCAACGAUCAGUAGCCGGCCUGAGAGGGUGGACGGCCACACUGGGACUGAGACACGGCCCAGACUCCUACGGGAGGCAGCAGUGGGGAAUAUUGCGCAAUGGGGGAAACCCUGACGCAGCAACGCCGCGUGAAGGAAGAAGGCCUUCGGGUUGUAAACUUCUUUGAUAGGGGACGAGUAAUGACGGUACCCUAAAACAAGACCACGGCUAACUACGUG